UGGGGAAUUUUGGACAAUGGGCGAAAGCCUGAUCCAGCAAUGCCGCGUGUGUGAAGAAGGCCUUCGGGUUGUAAAGCACUUUUGUCCGGAAAGAAAUCCUCUGGGUUAAUACCUCGGGGGGAUGACGGUACCGGAAGAAUAAGCACCGGCUAACUACGUGCCAGCAGCCGCGGUAAUACGUAGGGUGCAAGCGUUAAUCGGAAUUACUGGGCGUAAAGCGUGCGCAGGCGGUUUUGUAAGACGGAUGUGAAAUCCCCGGGCUUAACCUGGGAACUGCAUUCGUGACUGCAAGGCUAGAGUAUGGCAGAGGGGGGUAGAAUUCCACGUGUAGCAGUGAAAUGCGUAGAGAUGUGGAGGAAUACCGAUGGCGAAGGCAGCCCCCUGGGCCAAUACUGACGCUCAUGCACGAAAGCGUGGGGAGCAAACAGG
Molecule: ribosomal RNA, 429 nt
Filed under: uncultured bacterium
Lineage: Bacteria
Also listed under: 1 other name
Description: partial 16S ribosomal RNA
Rfam family: Bacterial small subunit ribosomal RNA
Source: RNAcentral